GGGCCGACAUGGUUGUUAAAGUUGUUCUUGCUGGGGAUUAAUUGGGCGUUGUAGGUCUGAGGGUACUUGUUGGUGUGCUGCUGCUCUUUCUCUGACUCAGCUGUAUAUGGCAGGUUGUUGUUGUUGGUGGUGAAUUGUGCACCAUUGGUAGUGGUGUAGGGUGCACCGGUGGUUGUGGUGGUGUAGGGUGCACCGGUGUUUGUGGUGGUGUAGUGUCCAACGGUGUUUGUGGGGGUGGGAGGCAGCUGGCCAGACCCAUGGCCAUAGAGACCAUCGAGACCAUAUCCACUUUGGGUCUCUGGAAUGAAGGCUGGCUCUUGCUCUUGCUUUUUCAAAGGGGUUUCUGCUAUGGGGAUCUCCUUCUCAUAGUUGUUGUGGUUGUUGACAUUGGCCACUUUGCUAAAGAAUUGGUUUUCUCUAGCUUGAGCUUGUUGAGAGAAGAGGAGAGAUGCAAGGAAGAAGAGGAAAGAGAACAAUUUUGCAGCAGAAGCCAUAGUGGCAAGUGAACUUGUUGGGAGGCAGCUGCUGUAAACUGAGUGUAUAUUGUGGGGGAGAGCUAGUGGUAGUCCAUUCUUUAUGUAGAGGACCAUUUUUCUUCUCACCCAAAAUUUUCAACUGAUUAGGUGCAAAUGGGCUGGAGGAUGGGUGAUGGUUUGUGGUCCUCAGUGGGGGCAGAACAACAACAAUAUUGAGCACUCUUUUUUUUCCUUUUUCCAGUUAAUUAGUUUAUUUUGUUUUGUUUUUUUUAAAAAAGAUAUGUAUAUACACAUUUUGGAUGCACUUCAUGCUUUCCAUGGAGGAAAACAACAUAAUUAUCUGCCAUUUUCUCUACUAAGAGCAUUUUUAGCAGUUAACCCCUUGCCAUGGCAAGAGGAGCUCCAAGACAGCUACUAUUCAUGUGAAUAGUAGCUGCCUUAGCCCCCAGCAAAGUGUGUUUCCAACAGUUGCCUUUUGCUAUGGCAAAUACUAUUCAUUUUUUUAUUUUUUUUUUCACAACUUUGUUUACUUAAACAAUUAACUUGGAUAAUAUUUUCGGAAUAGAUUUGGGUUCCUACGUGUCAAUACUAUUCAUAUCGGACAAGAUUUUCGGUUUCAAAUUUCAGAUACAUUUCAAAAUUCAAAUUUCAGAUAAAUUUCAAAUGUCAAAUUUCAGAUACAUUUCUAAAUUCAAAUUUCAGAUAAGAUUUUCACCCUCUAAGAUUGCGCCACGUGUCGUAUCUAUUUGCCUAAAUUUUUCUAUAAAACCAGAGGCUCAGCUCAUACCUUCCACACCAGAUCUUCUCUACAUUUCCAUUUCUCAGAUUUUAGAUUUCAUUCUCCAUUCUCAAUGGCAGACAUGCAAGAGGUUUUGGAGAGGCAAGAGCAAGAAACUAGAGAAAGAAUACGUAGACGAGAGCAAAAGGGCGCAGAGAGAACUAGAUGAGCAACUUGGCAUAGCAGUUGCUUUGCUGGAGGAAGAAAACCAGAGCCGCCGUGGUUCAUGAGAAGGCCGUGGCUCGAAUGUGGACAGACAUAGACAUUCUCGGGGUAAGAAUCUUCUGGAAGAUUAUUUUAUCACUACAAGGAAAAUUCCUUUUAGUGACGAAACAGGAUGGUCGCAAUAACAUCAAAGUUCGUCGCCAAAUAUAAAUAGCGACGAAUAUUUUUGGUUGCCAAGGUCGUCGUUGAAAGCUCGUGGCUAAAGAUACCAUGCGACGAAACAAAAUAUCGUCGCUGAAAUAUUUUAGCAACCAAUUUUGUCGUCGCUAAACAGAUCUAAGUUGGUCGCCUAUCGAGAGUGAGUUGCCGCCAAAAUACCAAAAAUUCCCGCGAACAUGGAACUAUUUGGCGACGAAAUAUUUGGUCGCUUGAACAUUUCAGCGACGAAUGUUUUGGUCGUGAAAGAUGUAGUUUAUUUGUAGCAUAUGUUAGUUGGUUUGGUUAUUUUCAGAAUGGGCGACGAAACAGAUUGGUCGCCAAAUCUGUAGAUAUUGGUAUUGUCAGUUGAGCGAUGAAAACUAAUUCGUCGCCAAAAAAGUAUUGAAUUUUUUUAUAAAUAAAAUAUUUAUUUAUAUUUCAAGCUUUGUAACAGAAUAUUAUUUAGUCCAUAAAGUUUUUGAAAAACAGUAAAUAGAUUAAAUGAAUAGAAAUAGCAUAAUUACUAUUCAAAAGAUACCAGUUGUUUAAGCACACAUCAAUAUAUGCUAGAUACAAAAACCCCCAAGAUAUCCUAGAUACAAAAACCAUCAAGUAGCUAGAUACAGAAGCCCCUAGAACCCCAAGGUAGGCUAGAUACAAAAACCAUCAAGUAUGUAGAUGUACACACAACCUAGUGACUAUUUCCAAUAUCAUCAAGAUCCGCAUAAACAUUACGUGAACCACCACUAUUACCUUGAUCAUCAUCACAAGGAGAAUCACCAACAUGCUGGGACAGAACACCUAAACAUGAGGGUAGAGGACCAUCAUGGGUUCGCAUCCACUCAAUGACAUCCAAAAGUUUACCCACUAUGCCCUGAAGCUCACUUACUGUGCCUUUCAACUCACCAACUGUGCCUUGAAGUUCCUCAACCUUUUGCUCUGUGGCAAAAGAAGAGGCAACUCCACCACUAUGCGCACUCUCCACUCGGAGACUAGAACCCAAGCCUCGAAUCCUCUUGCCCUUUACAACCCCAAGCUCUAUAAUCAUGAUCUCUAACUGUUGUGGGAUAGGGAGUGUGACUUGAUCUAGUGGAGUUCCUGAACUCUCUGCCACUUGUUGCUUGGCCUUCUCAUACUCUUCAUUCAUCUUCUUCUACAAAAAGAAGCAAAAUAAAGAUAUGUCAAUAUAUAUAAAUGCAUAAAAAGAAUGAGGUAAAUGGGAUGCCAGUACGAUCAAUUGUGUUCAUAAACUAGCAAUGCCAAUUAUCCUAAUCAAACAGUCACAAACAAAAAUUUCGUUUCAGCUUGAAGCAAAUAAUAAAAGUAAAUUUAGGUUUUACCCAUAAAAAAAUUUUCACUUUUGGAAAAAGCCAAAGCUUUUUCAAAAAAGACAGAAAAACCUCUCAACUUUCAAACCAAAGACAUGCAAAUGUAAAGGAUUCCUUAGGAAAUCAAAAAAUAAAUAAGGGCAAUUUUGUCCAUUUUGGCUUCUUUUAAAAUUUUUCUCUCUCCUUUGGGCUUUUCCAAAGUCUCCCAAUAAUAAAAGGAAAAGGCACAUAAAAAAAUGGAAUAGAUCUCUUUGGAUAUGCAGAUUGCAGAAAGUUAGAAAAUACUCACAGAUCUUAUAAGAUCUUUUUCUGCAUCUCCUGAAAGCAACGACAAUACAAACAAGAAACUUCCAAAAACAAGGAUUAUAAAUAUUUGCCCAGCAACAUGGCCCCCUUAUAAUUGGGCCUAAAUUUUAACUUCUAAGAGCACAACGGGUUAUUCGAACUGAAUUUGUUUAAUAGGAAUUUGGAAUUGGGCCUCCAAAGAGGAAUCGAAGUACAAUUGUAGCAGCUCUGUUUCAAAACAAUCUUAGCAUGCACUUUUUUUGGUCUUCAAUAUAUAAGAUAAUGGAAAAUUUAGAAAACUCAGACACAUCUUCAUUGUGUUUCUAAUUAAUUAGUUCUAUUUGCAAUGGAUAAAGCCAUUAUAUGAUGCUAAAACCAAAGUACACAAUUAGCAUCUAAAAUAAUAGGUCGUCAAAAACUUGCAUGACCAGUCAGCUGAUUUUUUGGAUUGCAUAAUAUGCAAGUCAUUAGUAAAUUGUCAGCAGGUUUAUGUAUUCCUUACCCCUUUAAUUUCAGCAACCUCAUUGAUCCACAUGCUCUUACUCUUAAGAAUAUGCAUGUUGUUCCAAUUGCUAAUGUAUGUAGGAUUUUCACCCUUCUACAUUUUCCCAACAAAAAGAAAAUGAGAAAUACUUGAAAGUAUUACAAUAUAAUAAAUAAAGAAACAUUUAAAGUGACCAAAAGUUAUAAACCUCUCUAGCAGCUUCCAUAUGUUUUAGGAAAGGACGUGACCCGCCUGUAUGAUCAAACUCUUUCUUUUUUCUGUUCUCAGCAUUGGUCUUGCAGCGUUUCUGUUUUGAUUAAAUACAUGAAUUGUUAUGUCUUUUUUUCUAUUUGAUACUUAGAAUAAGUUCCCAAUCAAAAAAUGAAAACUGCAGAUGUUACAUUAGAUACGUGAUAUUGCUCAUUUGUGUAGAACGUAUCAACCAAAUAAUGCCACUCUUCUAGAGUCCUUCGAGUACCAAAUAUCUUUUCAGGGGGAGGUGUUUCUCGUGCAAGAUCAGGGUUAGAAGCAUAUUGCUUAUAGUGUCUGUGGAGCUUUGCUUUCCAUUCUUUAUAAGUUGAGUGCAUAUAGUCAGUAAUAAAUUUCCAUAUAUCCGGAUCCGUUAAGUCCACAUGAAACAUGAACUAAUAUCAAUUAACCAUAAACAAAACAAGUAUUAAUUAUAAUUUUCAAUGCAAAUAGAAACAUUGAAGGACAAAUUUUUCAGUUCACACUAAAAUACAAUGAAGAAUUGAAAUAAAAAGAGAGCUAAAUGAACAAAAUUAAAUUAUAAUCAAUGAAGAAUUAGAUAAGAUUACCUGCAAACCCAAAGCCAUAUCUUUCUUCGUCUCCAAGCUCACUUUUUUCAUCCCUAAAAUAUUCAAGGGAGCUUUGUUGCGAGUGAUUAACCCAAUCUCAGAGACGAACAGUUUUUGAGCCUCAAUAGUCGCCACCAAUUUCUGGGAUGGAUCCAUCCGUAUUGGAAUCAAACUCUUCCUCUUUUUCACAACAUCACAAGUGCUAGCCCCCACAGUUCGGCCACGAGUGUUCUUCCUUUGUGAAGAAGUUUGAGUAUGCGUUCCUUCAUCUAGAAGAAAAACAAUUCUAAAAAUCAAUAACUUGAUUGCACAAAAUAAAAGUAUAAAAAUUAAGGGCACAAAAUAUGGUAUCAGUUACCUUGUUGGCAGGAACCCCCUCCUGAGGCUGAUGAAGCACCUUGUUGUGGCUGAGUUGAUUGUUGUUGUGGCAGUUGACAUGGUUGCUCAAGUGGCUGUGGUGGUAGUAGAGUUGAAGUUUUCUUCUUCUUAUUGUUAUUGUUGCUUAAGGUAGCAGCCCUCGUAAGUGUCAUUCUACACUUACAAACACAUAAACAAAGAGAGAAUACAACAAUAUACUACUAGAUCAUUCCUUGAUAAAAUAAAAAUAAAUGAUUGAACAUCAUACUUCAGCUGUAAUAACAUCAAUUUUCAUCACAAACGUGCUUGAGAUAAAGGAAUUAUUCAUUAAAAAAUGAUUGAACAUCAUACUUUAUCAAUAGGAAAGAAAAAUAACACUCACAUGCAUUUCAUUUACAUGGGAAGGACAUAUACAAACCUUAUCCGAAGAUAUUUCUUUAAUAUACAGACCUUACAGACCUUACCCCUUAAAACAGAUUAAGGAAAACAUAUAGUAACUUGAAGAUAAUUAAGAAACAUAUAGUGCCUAAACAAAAGACAACCUAACACUUCAAUCCAAUUCCAAAUCCUAUAAUCGUCAAUGUGAACACUACCUUCGUCAUCACCGAAAGGUAUUUGUUCAAUAUCAUCGUCAUCAAUAAAAUCUUCAUCCUCCAUAUAAUUUGGGACAUGCACGGACAUGGAGUCUCAUUCUUCUCAUCAACAUGUUGGCUUGCAACUUCCAUAAAUGACUCAAUACCAACACAAUAUUGAUUACUCAACCUGUUUUUAUUGUGUAUCCAAACCCUGUUCAUCUCUAACGCACCUUGUCUCCGUCUUCUUAUACCUCCUAUAAUGGGCCUUCUCCAAUUCAAUCGGUGAUGACUUGAAGCAGUUCCAAAAUUUCAUAACAUGAUUAGAUCGAACACUUAUAUAGAUACAAGCCAAUAACUCUUUCACAUAAUGAUAAGCUAAUAACUGUUUCACAUGAAAAUUAUAAAAAGAGGGAUUCCACAUUAAUUAUGCUUUUCAAGGGUAAGUAUCAAGGUAACAAUAUUUUUUUUUUACGAUUCUUUCAACAUUAUUUUGCAUAAUCUAGUUGAACCCAUGAAACCAGUGAAAAAAAAUGAAGGCAGGUGCAAGAUUUGCAGCUAUUCAUACCUCUAAAGCAAAUAUAGCCUCUUAAGCAAGUAUUUCAAACAACCUAUUGCCCAAAAAAAAAAAAUCAGUUAGACACAGUAAACCCAAGACACAUAGCCUCUUAAACAAAUAUAGCCUCUUAAGCAAGUAAUUCAAACACCCUACUGCAAAAAAGAAAAAGAUAAAAACAAAUCUGUUAGACACUAUUUUUGGAGGGCUUGAGUCCAAAUUAGUCUUCAAACUCAAAAUAGUAUAUGCCUUCGCCUCUAAGUUUCACCACUCAUCAUUAAACAAAAAAAUUAUUUUUCUGAGUUAACUCAAAACAGUAACAUAAUAAGACAUCACAGGAAGCACCAAAUAUCCAAGAUAAAAUUCUCAACAUAAAACCAAAUGGUUCAAAGUAAUAUUGUAAUCAACACAUCCACUUUAUACAGUGAUAACAUGUACAAUGAAUAAAGUCAGGCUUAAGGUCACAUGUCUCUCAUGUAGUAUAUGAAUUAUCCGAAAUUAAUAAUUAGGCUCUUCAUCUCAAUUCCAAAACAAAUUAUUAUUCUUUAUAGUUCUUAAUUAUAUAUGCCCUAAAUGAUUAUAAAAAUCAUUUCAAAUUAACAAAAAUUUACCCUUGAAGCUAAUUGAAUGACCUUGCGUAAAAUUCAAGCUACCAAUGAUCAUCACAUAAAGCCAAAAUGGUUUGUUAAAAAAGAAAAAAAUGUGGCUGGAAGAGCUUGAAAAGGAUUUCCAAAACAAUCAAACCAACAUUGAAGGAUGAUACUCCAUCAGUUAAAUUCUAUUGUCCAAUUAAGUGGUACUACACUUAGACACCAAUACUAAGGGAAAUAAAAAUAAUUGCUAAACUGACGAGUUAAUCUAUGGGAUGAUGAACCUGCAGCUAGCUUAUAUAUAAAAUAUAGAGACAACUCUGCAGCUAGCUUAAUCUAAACUAUAAAGAUAACUCAAUAAGCUACAUUGGCAAAAAAAAUCAAUAAUAAUAACCACACCAAAAAAAAAAAAAAAAAAAAAAAAGAAGAAGCUCAUAGACAAAGGCAAAGGAACCUUGAAACGAAUACACACCCACAUGACCAACUUCCAACUUCUAACUUUUUACUUCAAUUAUAUAAAUGAAUUGUUAUAUUCUUUCUUCCAACAGAUAGUAAAGAAAUUCAGAUUUAAUCCAGAAGUAUCAAGCAAACAUUCAAGACUUGGAAAAUAAUCAAUCAGACUCAAAGCAUUAAAACUAAAAAACUGAAUUAACUAUUGGGUACGUCUGCAAGUGAAACAUCUCAAAUUUGACACAGAACCCACAUCAAAUGCAAAACAAGGCAUUCAUAUCAGACACAAAACCCUACUCAAAUUUGACAUAGAACCCACAAUAACCACUUGAAAAAUAAACGUCAUUGUAUUCAGAAAACUUGAACAGUUGAAUGUUCAAGCAUUUAAGAUAUCAAAAAGGAAAAAUCAAGCACUGAAAUUCAGUUUCGAUUUAAAUUCCUGGGUAUCUAUUUCCGAUUUUCCUUGAUUAUUUUCUCAACAACCAAAUAGAAUCUACAACUGAAAAUCAGCGAUCAAAAGACAAUGAAUGUAAGCUAGACAAGGUAGACUCACCAGAAGCUUUCGUUGAAACACACAGUGAGGAGGACUUAGGAGAUGGAGUUUUCGUAUGGCCGUCGAUUCCUGACCGUGGUAGGGAAAGGCAUGCGAGAUGGAGGAUUGCUCUGCCGACGUCGGUGGAGGAUUGCUUUGCCAAUGUGAGAGCAGGGGAGAGUGGGUCUGCGAGGAACUAACGAGUAAGGAACUUUUUAUUUUUAUUUUUAUAUUUAUACUCUCUAGAUUAGCCCCAAAAACUGUUUGGUCGUCAUAUGCUAACAUACAUAAAACAACGUCGGUUUAUGGUUCAAGCACAAUGAUCUGCGACGAAAAACAAAUGGUCGCUGACCCCCGAAAUUUUUAAGCGCCAAUUAUAACUUAGCGACAACACAUUAAAACUUAGCGACCUAAUAUUUUCGUCGCCAAAACUUUUAGAGUUUCGCACGCACCCAAUUCAGUAAAUCGCGAUCAAAUAUAUGUUUGGUCGCCAAGUCCUUACCUAACCACCAAAAACUUUCGUUGCCUUUAGUUGAUAAAUUAGUCGCUAUUUUGUUGACUCAAGUCAUGAUAGGUGUCUAAAAAUCACGAACUUUUUGGUGACUAACUAGAAAAUUUUCAUAGCCGAUGCCCUUUUUGGCAACCAAAAUAUAGUGCGUCGCUAACAAUUUCGUCUCAAAAGAGGUUUUUCCUUGUAGUGUAUCCCACAUUCUCUAUACUCUGAUGUUCAUUUUCGAGCGAGAUAUAGAAUGCAAUCCCAUUUGUUCAAUAAAGUCAUGCAUAAUAUUUGCAAUUAUGAUGAAUACUUCGUUCAAAAGAAAAAUUGUGCUGGAAAUUUGGGACUUCUUCCCGAGCAAAAGUUCAUAGAUGUGAUACGAAUGUUGGCGUAUGAGUCAUCUGCUGAUCAGGUGGAUGAGGUUGCCCGGACAGGGAAGUCCAUUAUUUUGGAGAGUUUGGUGCGAUUUUGUGAUGCAGUGGAAACUCUGUACACUAGAGACUACCUGUGCAGACCUACGCCCAGGGACCUGUAAUGGCUUCUACAAAAAGCUGAGUCUCGUGGAUUUCCUGGAAUGAUUGGUAGCAUUGACUGCAUACAUUGGCAAUGGAAAAAUUGUCUAACUGCUUGGCAAGGGGAUUACGGAAAUAGGAAAGGGCAGAAAAGUAUCAUCUUGGAAGCAGUUGCUGGUUUCGAUACAUGGGUUUGGCACGCCUUCUUCGGAGUUGCCGAAUCUCAAAACGAUUUGAACGUCCUGGGUCAAUCCCCGGUGUUCAAUGAUGUUUUGAGAGGUGAAGCCCCAAAUAUCACAUAUGAAAUCAACAAUACCAUCUACCAGAACGGGUAUUAUCUAGCUAAUGGCAUCUACCCGAGGUGGAUAACAUUUGUGAAAUCAAUUCCACAUCCCCGAUCCCAUAAGUAAAUUUUUUUGCUGCCUAUCAAGAGGGAUACAGAAAAGAUGUGAAGAGGUGCUUUGGUAUCCUUCAAGCCCGGUCCGCUGUUAUUAGGGUCGCGGCGCGUCUAUUUGACGAGGAGGUGCUUAGGAGUAUAAUGAUGACUUGUAUCAUCCUCCACAACAUGAUUGUGGAAUAUGAGUAUGAUUACGAUGCUGAUGAAGUGUAUGACCAGAUCCCAUGGACACGGCCCUAACACGAAUUUAUGAAAAACCCAUAGGGCCAAAUGGAGAGCCAGUGCAGCAUGAACCGUUAGUUAGAGACGGUAGUUUCAUGCCCCGUAUAAUUGAUCGCUACACGGAUAUGCAAUCGUCGUAUAUUCAUGAACAUCGUCAAGUUGACUUGAUGGAGCAUUUAUGGGUAGUGAAAGACAAUAAAGGUGAAUGAAGUGAAGUGAAGAUGUUUUUUUAAUUUAUUAUGUUUAUGUUGUAUUUUUAGUUAUGCUUUAUUUUUUUUAUCCUUUAGUUGUGAUUUGUUUAUUUUUUUAUGCUUUGGUUGUGGUUUGCUUUUUAUGUAUGGAAUGUUUUGAAUAAAAAGUAAUUUUGUUGAAUAUUUUCUUUAUUCACUAAAAGAAAAUCAAUACAACUAAUAAAAUAAAUCAUCCUGUUCUAGAGCUAAAACCAUAGCUGUCCCAAAUUCAAACAUAAUUAUCAUUAAACUAAAACCAUACAGCUAUUAAGUUUUGAAUAGAGAACUUGAUCUGGAAAUGAGAAUUGACAUAGGAACAAGCUACAAGAAGGAAAAAUCUUAAAUUUAUUGAAUUUAUAAAUAUUACAACAGACAAAUUAAUUGAAUCAAUUCAAUAAGAAAUUGGACAGCUGAAAACAAGUCAAAAUGGUCCAGCUAUGACAUGAUACUAGUACAUAACACUUGUCACUCAAAUUGAUUCCACAAAUUGACUAAAGAAAGAUAAAUAAACAAAGGAGCUGAAAAUCUAUUGAGAAAAAUGCACGCAUAUUGCAUAAUAUGAACAACUAUUGAAAGCAACGUAUCUGAAAUUAUUGUUUAGAUAUCUGAAGGUAAGCCAUCUAAGUCUCUUUUUUUAUUGGGCAAAGAGAUUAUCCAUAAGAUGAAAGCAAACAAACAGUAUAAACAUGAAGCCCAAAGAAAGGCGGGAAACACCUCCUGCAACCAAACAGCCAAGAGAAAAAGACGGCUAUCUGAGUCUAUCCACUAAAUACAGAAGGAUCGAGUCUGGUUAAACCAAGCCCUUGUAAAGACAUGAGUACCUUGUUUAUCUUCAUUUGUUCAUCUUCCCCAAAAACAAAAAACGUGAGAAUCAGGCAUAGGAGGGUGGGAUUUUUUUAUGGGGUUUGGUAUUUAUAUCACCCACUCAAAAGUCUCACACAAUACACCAUUUAACGAAAUACCUCAAAAUCGAUAAGUUUUUUAAUACCAACGUACUUUUUCUAAUCUUUUAAAAGUCCUAAUUGAAUACCACAAGACUUGAAUUGAUUAUUUCAGAGUUUUUCUAUUUAAACCUCAUACUUUUUUUUGUUCACCUCAAUACUUAAAUCAUUAAGCUUUUAAGUUUUAUUAUUGUGUAAAAAGACAAAAAAGAACAUCCAACUUAUUAUUGUAUUUAAACCCCAUACUUUUCUUUGGUUGCUAAUUGCUCAAAUUAAGAACAUAAUUUACUGCUAUCAACAAAAAUAAAAAUAAAAACCACUGCGUGCAAAGUCCAGGUAAUCAACAAGCUCUCUCGUGACUGCUCUUCAUUUGUCAUUCAUGAAGACAUAAAGAUACCCACUUGUAAUUCUAUCGCCAUUAUCUUCUUGACUACUUGUCUUCUUCUUUUUCAAGGAGACUAAUCUUUUUAUUUGUCUUCUCUGAAUUUAUAAUUGUUUCCUUGAAGUUGCUGUUAUCUGGGUUUUUUUAUUUUUCUUUAUGGUAUAUAUUUGAAAGGAUCCUCUGCAGUUGGUUCAGUAUUUCUUUAAGUUUUGGUUACAUUUUCCUUUUCUUUGGGGUUCUUAUUAUCUGGGUUCUUGGUGAUUGUUAAUUGUAUUUGUGCAAAUGGGUUUCUAGAGGUUACGUUAAGUAUUUUUUAUUAUUUUUUCUUAUUGCAUUAGUUUUUAUUUUAUUUAUGUUCUUAAGGAUUCUAGUAAUUACUAACUUAGGUGCUUAAAUUCAUAGUGUUAAUUAUGCAAUUUGUUUUCAUUUGGUUCUGGACGACUAAGAUAAAAAUUGGUGGCUUGAGCCAAGUGUGGCUGUGGAAAUUGAUGGAAGCCUAAGAAAAGAAUGAGGAGAGUCGUUUCAGAAGAUGGACCAAGAAAAGACUGAGGUGCCUAAAACUCCUCCAGCACUAAACACCCGGAGAAGGGCUCCGGUUGCUUCUGGUCGACAUAACACCACACAGAAGGAGAAAGUGGGGUGUCAGGUUGUUGAAAUUUUUUUAAUUAUUUUUUCUCAUGGGUGUGUAUUUAGGGGUAGUUUGAGAAGACAUUGAGGUUUACUUAGAAAUUGUGAAAAUUUGAAUUAAAAAUGGGAGAUUUUGGAAAAGUCCAAAGGAGAGAGAAAAUUUUUAAAAGAAGCAAAAAUGGACAAAAUUGCCCUUAUUUAUUUUUUGAUUUCCUAAGAAAUCCUUUACAUUUGCAUGUCUUUGGUUUGAAAGUUGAGAGGUUAUUCCGUCUUUUUUCAAAAAGCUUUGGCUUUUUCCAAAAGUGAAAGUUUUUUUAUGAGUAAAACCUAAAUUUACUAUUAAAAAUUGGGGUGAACUUAGAAUAUGAGGAAAAGAGAAGUGCGAGGUUUAAAUAGAAAAACUCUUAUUUAAAAUUCUUAAUUGAAUACCACCAAAUUUUUAUUGAUUACAUAAAAAUCCUAAUUGGAUACCACUGAACUUUUAAGCUUCAAAACAAUCUAUUAAAAUCUCAAUUGAAUACACAUAAAUUGCAUAAUGGACAGAUAGAUAAAUACUUGAUACCAAUCUCAUUCGAUACAGGCAUAGAUACUUCACAAAAAUCUCAUCUGCUAAUAUGUAGAUGCCACCUAUGAUCCCAACUACUAGGUUGGUCCACUACUAAAUUAUGAAAUUUGUCAGCAGAGGAGAGAAAUAAUAAAGAUGAUAUUAUUGAAAUUUCCUGUUGGUUAGAUUCUGUUAAAUUUCCCAACUUCUGUCACAUUUAAUUUUUCUAGUGUAUGUGUAUGUGUACGCUGCUGCUCUUCCGCUUCAUGAUGAUGAUUUGCACGACUGGUAAGUAUCAGAUUGGUAAAAAAUAAUACUUCAUUCUUCUUAAUAUAUAACAAAUAGGAAGGUUAUAUAUACAGAGCCUAGGAAACUAUUCUAGGAAAGUAAUUAUGUUCCUAUAAUCUUGCAUAAUCAAAUAGUUGACUUAGACUAAUUAGGAAUGUACAGCUCAUUGACACUCCCCCUCAAGUUGGAGCAUAUAUGUCAUCAAUGCCCAACUUGCUAAGUGAGUUGUGAAAUACCCUGCCUGUGACUGCUUUGGUAAGGACAUCUGCAAGUUGAUCUUCGGAUUUAACAAAUGAUACCUUAAUGAUCUUUGCCUCGAGCUUCUCCUUGAUGAAAUGUCUGUCAACUUCAACAUGCUUGGUUCUAUCAUGUUGCACUGGAUUAUGUGCAAUGUCUAUUGCAGCUUUGUUGUCACAAUUCAGUUGCAUGGCAUGUUUAGGUUUGAACCCCAAUUCCUCCAACAAAUUCCUUAUCCAGAGUAGCUCACAUACUCCGUGUGCCAUACCUCGAUAUUCUGCUUCAGCACUUGAUCUUGACACUACUUUCUGUUUUUUACUUCGCCAAGAUACUAGAUUGCCUCCUACAAAGGUAAAGUAUCCCGACGUAGAUCGCCUGUUAGUAACAGAGCCCGCCCAGUCUGCAUCAGUGUGACCCUCAACAUCUAGAUGACCAUGUCGUGCGAACAUCAAUCCUCUUCCAGGAGAUGACUUCAAGUAUCUCAAAAUUCGGUUUACCGCAUCCAUGUGGGCUUCACUUGGUGCAUGCAUGAACUGACUCACCACACUUACAGCAUAUGCUAUAUCAGGUCUAGUGUGUCCUAGAUAGAUUAACUUACCCACAAGGCGUUGAUAUCUUUCUUUGUUGGUGGGUACUUGAUCAGGAUAUUCACCAAGCUGAUGAUUCAACUCCAUUGGCGUAUCUGCUGGUUUGCUGGCUAACAUUCCAGUGUCAGUCAAAAUGUCAAGGAUAUAUUUCCGUUGUGAUAGAAAUAUUCCUUGUUCUGAACGAGCCACUUCGAUGCCUAGGAAAUACUUCAGAGCACCAAGAUCUUUCAUUUCAAACUCACUUGCCAAGUGGUGCUGCAAUGCUGCCUUUUCUAUUGGGUCAUUCCCGGUAACUACCAUGUCAUCAACAUAUACAAUAAGGGCAGUGACUUUACCUUUCUUAUGUUUCAGGAAAAGAGUAUGAUCUGAGUUACUUUGCUUGUAUCCAAAAUCCUUCAUUGAUUUGCUGAACUUUCCAAACCAUGCUCUGGGUGACUGCUUCAAGCCAUAAAGAGACUUUCUCAGUUUACACACCAUGUUGCUAGUAUUGGGCCCCAUCUUGCAUCCUGGAGGGGAAUCCAUAUAGACUUCUUCUUCUAGGUCGCCAUGCAGGAAGGCAUUUUUGACAUCAAACUGGUGUAAUGGCCAGUUUAGGUUUGCUGCCAGAGAAAGAAGUACCCGAAUUGUGUUUAUCUUGGCUACAGGGGCAAAUGUCUCCCCAUAGUCAAUCCCAUAAGUCUGAGUAUAACCUUUCGCCACCAGUCUUGCUUUGUAUCGUUCAAUGGUGCCAUCUGCCUUGAACUUUACUGUAUAUAUCCAUCUACAACCCACUGUUCUCUUCCCUUUGGGAAGGAUAGUCAUCUUCCAAGUGGAAUUCUUCUGGAGGGCCUCCAUUUCAUCAUUCAUCGCUUGAGUCCACUUGGGAUCUUUCAGAGCUUCCUGCACAUUACUUGGAAUAGAUACAGUGGAUAAUUGACAUACAAAUGAUGCACAUGACGGAGACAACCUAUGUAGGGACACAUGAUUAGCAAUAGGGUAUUUAACUUUUGUUUUUGGGUCCGGGUCAUACUGUUGUCUAGGAAUCCCUCUAGUGGUACGAAUAGGUAACUGAUAACCUGUGUUUCCUGUAUGACUCGACUCAUGUAAAGUGCUUAAGUUGGAGUUUAAAUGCUCAGUUACCUGCGCGGAAUCUUCAGGACCUGAUUGGAUGAUUGGUGAUGGUACUGUAGUAGGAGGGAAAUUAUCUGAACCAUCAUAUGGAGUUUCCAGUAACUCUUGAUCUUGUUGUACUACUGUAGCUGGUUGCUCGGACACUGACUGCUCUAAAACAGUUUGUUGAAUUUGGAUGCUCUGAGUAUCUUCUGCAAAGAUAGAGCUCUCCCCCUGCAGAGGAUGCUCAGAAACUCCCCCUGAGUAAUAGAACUCACUCUCGUGGAAAGUCACAUCGGCGGUAACAUGCAUGGUCUGAGUAGGAGGAUGGAAACACUUAUAGCCCUUCUGAGUGUCAGCAUAACCCACAAAGACACAACGCAGUGCACACGGAUCAAGCUUGCCACGCUGAUGUGGAUACACCUGAACAUAAGCAACACAACCAAAGACACGUGGUUCGAGAUUUGGUGUGGAUGGCAUGGUGAGGAGAGUGGUCAAUGUCUGAAAUGGAGUUUGAUACUGAAGAGUGCUAGAUGGUGUUCUAUUAAUGAGGUAAGCAGCAGAACAAAGAGCCUCCCCCCAAAAAUGAUGAGGCAUACGGGCCUCAAAUAAAGAGGCACGAACAACCUCCAAGAGAUGACGAUUCUUACGCUCUGCGACGCCAUUCUGUUGUGGUGUAUAGGCACAUGUGGUUUGAUGAACAAUUCCAUGUUGACUUAAAAAAUUAUGUAGGUCAUGGUUGACGUACUCUCCUCCAUUGUCAGACCGAAGCGUAGUGAUUUUCUUGUCAAAUUGAGUAGCAACAUAUUGAUAAAAUAACUUGAAUUUGGCGGUGACAUCACUUUUCUGCUUUAAGGGAAAAACCCAGGUCAUCCGGGUGCAAUCAUCAAUAAAUGUCAUAAACCACUUAAAACCGCUAAUAGUGGGAACUCGUGAUGGUCCCCAAACAUCAGAAUGGACAAUCAUGAAAGGCAAAGAACUUUUAUUCAAUCUUAAUGGGUAAGAAAUACGAUGACUUUUGGCCAAAAUGCAAGUUUCACAAUGAAAGUCUGAUUCAGCAAACUGGGAAAACAAAUCUGGAAAUAAAAGUUUCAGAUAACCAAAAGAAGCAUGACCUAAUCGUCUAUGCCAUAGCCAAAUUUUCUUCAUCCUGAUAGACUCAUCUCCUCUCACAUGAUGUGUCUGACUCAAUCUUGUACUGCUGUCUUCUGUCAAGUCCAGAUAAUACAACUUUCCCCUCCUAGUACCACAUCCAAUCACGGUCCUGGUGAGAAGAUCCUGAAAUAGACAAUACAAUGGCCAAAAACACACGGUACAAUUAAGGGAAUCAAUGAUUUGAGGAACAGAUAACAAGUCAUAGUCGAGUGAAGGGACAACUAAGACAUGAUCAAGACUUAAUGAAGAUGUAAGAGAUAAAGACCCUUCUCCCAUAACUUGGGAGGUGGUUCCAUUGGCACUGGUAAUAUGUGUUUGGCUUGAUGGUUUGGUAGAGUGCAACCCAGUAAAACUAGAUGUCAUGUGAUCAGUGGCGCCAGUGUCAAUAAUCCAUGAUCUAUUACAAGUAAGUGAAGAUGUGCAAGAGGUACCUGAGGUGGCCAAGGCCUUGGAGCCAUAUGUACCUGAUGGAGGUUCUGAUGCAGUCUCCUCGGAUGACUGAGCGAAUGCAAAUGAGGCUCUGGUAGAAUCCUUUUUCCGCGCUUUGUGGACCCAUCCUUCUGGAUAACCAAUGAUCUCAUAACAGCCCUUAAUGGUGUGGUUAUCUAAACCACAUUUGGUACACUUCAUUGGAGGCCGGUUACGAGUAGGGUCGACACUAUAGUUGUUCGGCCGAGAUUGUUUGGACCUUGCAGUAGCCAAGGCUGUGGCUUCGGAGGUUACACCAACUUCAGACAUGGUUCCCUGUCGGUUACUCUCUCUUUUAAUAUGUGCAUAUGCGGCCUCCAGUUCGGGUUUUGGCUCCAUCCGCAAAAUCUCUCCUCGGAUUUGAUCGAAAUUAUUGUACAAACCUGCAAGAAAUAUAUAAACUCGGAGACGAUCAACCUCUUUGCGUCUAGUCUCAAUGUCUUUCGGAUGCUCCAUGGUGCUUGGACUUAAUUGAUCAAGCUCCUGAAAAAUCUCAAUGAGCUCACUGUAAUAUUUGGCAACUGAUGCGCCAGCUUGCUUCAUUAUGAAUGACCGUCUGUGAAGGUCAUAAAUCUUGGCUUCAUCAGCACCAUCUGAAUAGGUUUGCUUGAUUGCAGCCCAGACUUGCUUUGCUGUGUCAUAACGAAUAAAUCGUUUAAUCUGAUUAGGUUGCAUGGCGUCGAACAACCAACUCUUGACUUGGCAAUCCGAUGCACGCCAUUUAUUAAAUGUGGGAUCUGUGUCUGCAGGUUGGGCAAUAUCACCGGUCAAGUGGCCAUGUUUUUCUCGCCCAGCUAUCUUCAUCUCUAUGAUUUGAUGCCAUAGAGAAUAAUUAUUCUCAUCCAGUUUGAUUCCUGCGGAGAAGUUGGAGGUGUCACUCUGCAAAGUGACGAUUUGUGUGGUAGUUUUGGAGCCUCCCGACACCAAGGAUUGAUUGGUGUUUGCUGACCCAUCAUCGUUGGCCAUGAUAUUGGCUGACACCCAAUGAAAAAAGGACAAAAAAGAAAUAUCAAGUUGAGGAAAAGCAAGUGCACGGUGGACAAAGGCAAUAAGACAAACUGUUUUGCAAUAAGAAAUAUUGGGUUGAAAGGGAAAAAAAAAGAACAAUAUGGGAACGGUUUGAAUGGGUCUGUGAGUGGAAAGUGAUUUGCAAUAUUGCAAAACGUGAUUUGACUAGAGGAAAGGUUUGAAUGGGUUUGUAAGAUGGAAUAUGGGUGGUAUUGGUGCUGGGUUUGUGAGAUGGAAUAUUGCUUUUGGUGCUGGUGCUGGUGCUGCGUAAUAGAUGGAAUAUUGCAAAACGGUGAUUUGAGAUGGAAUAUGGGCUGGUGCUGGGUCUGUAUGACGGCUGUUGCUGCGGAAGCGAUUAGGGUUAGGGCAAGAGACAGUCAAGAUUGACUGCUCUGAUACCAUAUCAGAUUGGUAAAAAAUAAUACUUCAUUCUUCUUAAUAUAUAACAAAUAGGAAGGUUAUAUAUACAGAGCCUAGGAAACUAUUCUAGGAAAGUAAUUAUGUUCCUAUAAUCUUGCAUAAUCAAAUAGUUGACUUAGACUAAUUAGGAAUGUACAGCUCAUUGACAGUAAGUAUUGGCGUCGGCCACCAUGGGAGCACAAAAGGAAAGACUGGGAAGACAGAUCUCCCUCCCCAUCUUAAACUGAAAGGUGUGAAUUGAGUGGUCUAAGUGGUAUCCUUUAACGUUCUUGCACCAAUGUUGUACAUGACAAUGCGACCAAACAAUUGUAGAUACAAGACAUCCUCAUUAUUUGGAUCAAAAGCUAGCACCAAAACCCUUUUUGUCCUCCCAUGGUGCUCAUCGUUCCACUUUUUGGUAAGAGGAUUUGCCGAGAUUAAGUCGAACAUGCGAGCUGUGUCUACCAAACACCAUUUUGCAGUCUCCUUGACUUGACCAUGACCUUUCCAAUCCCAAUCCCAAACACCAUGACCAUCGUCUUUCAACUCCCAAACACUCACAGCACCUAGAGUGUGAGCAGGAUCAUCAUGAUCUAAAUUGGUAGAGGAGAAGACGCACAUCCGCAGACACCCUUCUCCUCCUCCUCCACACUCACUUAGGAAGUCAAACCUUCGAGAUUCGAUUUCAGGCUUAUCAAUGUAACGAAAGACAUAUAUACUAUCACCAAGCUGGUCACGAGGAGAGUAGAGAUCCAACCCAAUAGUAAAGCCCUCAACAUCCCUCCACCAAUACAAGCUUCCAUUGUGAGCAACCCCGGGAUAGGGAGCCAAUUUGCUAAAACAAAACCUCCGUGGGUUAUUUACAAGUCCUUUGUCCAUUGACCUGUCUCAGAAGAAAAGAUCUCCAGCUAGAAUUCGCUGGAAACCUCCGGAAAGUCCAAUUUAUCGUCAUUUAUUCGCACAACCUUGUUGUAUGCUAUAGGAUCACUAUAUUAUUGCACAAUUCUUAAAAUAUAAACAGUAGCAAAAUUAUGAAAUCUGUAUGAAUGUGCAAAUAUAUAAAUUAAGUACAGAAACUGACUUUUAUUGAAGAUAGAGGCUUGCGUAUUUGCAAUGUCCUAAAGACAGAAUUUAGCCUCUUCUCAGUGCUUGAAGUUCAACAGGCGUCUAUCUCCCAGGAUUCAACUAUCUAUAAUUCAAGGGUUGGUGUGCCUCUCUCCAAUACAGUUGGUAACUUUAAAAUAAUAUGAGCAGUUAGUAUCCGUUAUACCUGUUCAAAUUCAAACAAAAAGAUAAGUCUUUCUGGUUUGAAUUUAACUUCUGCCAAAGAAAUCCGAAAAAUAAAAAUAAUUAUUUUAUUUUCGGGCUAGGUAUAUUUCUUUUAUUUUCCAGAGACCCAAGGCCCAAGGCCCAAGUCUUGAUUAUUUAAAUAUUAAUAUUAAUCAAGCAAGCCAAUCAUGAUAGUCUUUACUACCAAGCCCAUCAGCCCACCAAUCCUUAUUUAAUUGAUGUUAAGGUUUCAUGCUUAUAAAGCAUAUGGAAUUUUUUGUUUUCUCCAAUGUGGGACAUUUGCUUUCAAACUUCCAACAUACUCAACAUUAAUAAGAUUAUGAUUAAGCUGAAUAUUGACACUCCUCCUACUAGAUCUUUCUAGAUCUGCUGCUUGCUUUCGAUAGUAGGGAUCGCAUAUGAAUCCAACCAUUACGCACUUGUGGCAUCCUCCUGAUCCACGUCGAGGUCCACGUCGGGGGGGAGAGGGAGAGCAUCCCAUUGCUUGGUGUAUGGAUUGCAGAUGUAGUAAUCACGUUGAUAAUACGUGGUUGCACAACACAAAAUUAAAUCAUUAUAUGCUCCUAUCACAACUGGCUCACCUUUAUAAGGAUCAACAAUAUCAGCUUGGAAACAAGGGAGGAAACUCAGAGACAACUCAUGUUCAUGUGGUUGAUGAUCAGGCUCCGAUGACAUGGAAAAAAAAUUUCCUCUCACAUGGUUCAUCUUCAUCGGGCUGCUCCGAUGAUGACGUGGAAAGAAAUGUACUUCUUCUUCUUGUUGUACGCCUUCUAUCCGAGAUGGUUAUAGCACGUGCACGUGCACGUGCAAUGAUGUGGUUUUGGUUGCCACUUUGGAUUUGGAAAUAGUGUCGAAAAAAAUAAGGAUCAAAGAUGAGACUGAACCAACGUUUGGAGACACACAUGCAUCGAGCCGCACACUUAGGAGGGAGUCGGGAAAGAAUUUCUAGCAAAACAAACUCAGGGAGAUCAUCAAGACUAAUAUUCAUGGUUAUGGCUAACUCUUUCGAUAUUGGUUUUUCGGGUGCUCACCUUUUUGAUCUUUUUAAUGGAGACUGAUGAUGAUCAGAGGCUUCUCCAAUAGGUUUGGAUUGGGAUAUUCUACUGCUCCAACUCCUUUUGGUAGCACCAGGUCUCAUCAUGGCGCCGAUUGAUCCGUGUGCAGUUUGACUGACUAUUGCAAUUUGCAGAGAGGAUUUGGGUCUUGAAACAUACAUAGCUACUUAUCCUACUUUUAAUCACUAUAUAUAUAGGAACACAUAUAUAUAUAUAUAUAUAUAUAUAUAUUUUAUUUUUUUUUUUUGGGGGGUCGAAAAUAGGAAAAGAUAUCUAUAAAAAUAAAAAAAAGGCAAGCAAUCACUAAUUAUUAAUUUAUAAAUAGGAAAGAAAUCCUCAUACGAAUAGGAAUUAAUUUAUAAAGGAAAUAUAUAUAUUUUUUUUUUGGGGUCGAAAAUAGGAAAAGAUAUCCAUAAAACAAAUAGGCAAGCAAUCACUAAUUAUUAAUUUAUAAAUAGGAAAGAAAUCCCCAUACGAAUAAGAAUUAAUUUAUGAAGGAAAUAUAUAUAUUUAUAAGCCCUGCAAAUUUGGCAAGUUUUUCAAUAAAGAAAAUGCUAAUCACAAUCGCAAACCGUUGAUUAAAAUGAACCUCAUUAUCGCAGUUUUUACUGAUGCAUGCAUUGAAGGCUGUAUAUCGAAUUUUUAUAAAUUAAUUGAUUACAGACCACACAUAAGUAAUUUCUGAUCGUUGAUGAAAUGCUAGCCCCUCAUGCAUCAAUGGUCUAAAAUCACUUACUCGGGUGAAAGUGACUGACCGUAGCACACCCCAUUGACCUUUUCUUUCUUCUUAUCAAAGUUCAAACUCAAAGUGUUUAUAGUGGGUUACAUAAUGGGCUGCACAACCCUUCCAGAUUGUUUAGUAUUUCUUCGGGCUUGUGCUUUAAGAAUGGUAUUUCUGAGAAAUGUUAAACCACAAGGUAUGGGCAACCACCCAUUGCCCAUUACAAAGAAAAGUCCAUUGGGCUUAAUUGUGGGGUUCAUACUUUACAUUGAAGGGAAUCAAAAUUGAAGUUUAAGAUUAAGACCUACACUUGCCCUCCACUUUCUUGACUGCUUGUGCUUGAUCAGGCAGGCAGGCUGGUGUGUAAGUAGAUUUUUAUUUAUUUAUAGGUCACUUUACAGUAAGAUGCUAAAUAAGUUGAGGAUAGAUAGAGACGGUGGGAGGACACUAUGAUGAAACUGAAAAUUUUAAUGGGGUGGGGAUGAUUAUUACUCCUACAUGCUCUCAUGAGUACUAGGACUGCAAUUGUAUGCCCUUUUGGUGAAAUGGGCCUCUAUAUUCAUAAAGACUACCAAAUUUUCAAGAACAGCUUUUGCUGCUAGAGAACCUGUUGCCCCUAUAUCUGGUCUCAAUUAAUUGGGUUAGUUAGUUCAUAAUAUAAAUGCACGUGAAUGCAUUACUUGGAUGGAUGAGGAAGAUGGCAAGAAAACACACUCAGCUUACUUCUGAUGAAACGGAAUUGAAAGAAAAGAAAGUUUUGGUGAGGUUUUAAAUUGUCUUGAUUUGGCAGGGGACGACCCAUUAGUGUAGUGGUUUGGAGUAAUUGCUCUUGAGGCAAGGUUCUGAGUUCAAAUCCUAACAUCCGUUUUGUGUGUGAGUUUAGUAUAUUAUCGUCUCUCUCAACAAGAAAGGUCCUUCAAAAAAUGUCUUGAUUUGUAGCUAGCUGUGCUCUUUAUUGAAUGAAUAGGUAAUGAAGCUUUAAAACUGGACCAAACUUAACGCUGAAAUUACAAGAUAGCUUUUGCUCCUAGAGGCCCUUCUACCCUCUAUCUGGUCCCAAUUAAGUUGGUUGUUUGUAUAAUAUAAAUGCUUAUUAAUAAUAUACAUGCAUUGGGUGGAUGGUUAAAAAAAACAGAGUUACUCUGUUACUCAAACUUUGAUAGUUCAAUUCCACAGCAUACUGGGAUUAAUUGGAGACGACAAAACUACAGUUAAUAUACCUUCUGGCUUCACAAACGACAUAGAAAUGGAACAUUUUGAGGUUAAAGGUUGAUGCGCGUUGGCAGCUCAGAUCAUGACAAUCAAAUAUCAAAUCUGGAAGUUGAUUUUGUUCUUUUUGCUCCACUUUCUUUUGUGCAAUGUACAGUAUAAGAUGGGCGCAAAGGAAACCCACAUAGCUGUAGUUUUGUGUAUAACCAUCCAAGGAAGGGAAAAAAGAAAAAGUUAUUGGUCAAAAAGAUAGAGACCCCAGCUUCCCCGCAAUUGAAGUUGAAUGACAUUUUGCUUUUUACCAACUAUUUACUCUUGUGGAAAAUGCAUACAGUGCAUGCCGCCUGGUCUGGCCAUAUUGAAAACUUGAAAGCAACCUUGAUCUCAGUCUCCUUCCUUUGUCUUUUACAAUAUGACUAUGAGCCUGCUAGGAGCUAGCCUAGGGCUCAAGGCUUAGGUGAGCGUAGGUGAUGACCUUGUUAUGAACGAGCCUGAAUGAACAAAUAUGAACUAUUUUGCAGAAAUAAGACCAACCAACUUUGCAAAUUAAAGAGUUAAAAUAAGACAAAUGCUCUUAUAAGCAGAAGCUACCAUCAUAUACACUUUAUUGACUGUUUGUUUCAACUCAAGUAGUCCACAAACUUCAGCUUUUUCAAAGCAUGAACAUUAAGCACUUAUGAAAAACCAGAGACAACAGAUACAUAAUUAAAUAAACAUUACAAAAACCCUUCAUAAAAUAUUCUAUUUUUCUUGUGUUUUUAACUCCCACUUGAAUAUAUGAUCUGAGGAUAAAUAUAUCAAACACAGCAAAGCGGUACUAAUCAAAACAAGUCUCAGCUUAUGGCACGAACUCUUCUUCACUCUCUUGGAACUGAUCCUCGUUCUGGUUCACAUUGUUGUUGCCAUAGUUACCCCUGUUGUUGUACCAGUGUCUUGAAUCCACUACCCUUGAAUUUUCAUACUGGUUCUGAUUGUAGUUGUUCUCGCUCUGAGCGUCAUAGUAGUACUUUCCAUUCUCCAAAAACCUUGUGUCACUCAUGCCCUGCUUCUCAGCAUUGUAGUAGUUGUUGCUUUGGUAAUUGGUUGGGGUUGUGUAGCUGCUCUGUGUAAGCCUUGCAUCACUCAAGCCCUGCUUCUCCCCAUUGUAGUUGUUGCGGGUGUUUUGGUAAUUGGUUGGGGUUGUGGUUGUGGUGUAGCUGCUCUGUGUGAACCUUGUGUCACUUGGGUUGCUCUCAAAAUUGCCAUUGUAGUAAAAGUUGUUCUUGUUGGGGCGGUAUUGGGUGCUGUAGGUCUCAGGGUACUUGUUGGUGUGCUGCUGCUCUUUCUCUGACUCAGCUGUAUAUGGCAGGUUGUUGUUGUUGGUGGUGAAUUGUGCACCAUUGGUGGUGGUGUAGGGUGCACCGGUGGUUGUGGUGGUGUAGGGUGCACCGGUGUUUGUGGUGGUGGGAGGCAGCUGGCCAGACUCAUGGCCAUAGAGACCAUAUCCACUUUGGGUCUCUGGAAUGAAGGCUGGCUCUUGCUCUUGCCUUUUCACAGGGGUUUCUGUUUUGGGGACCUCUGUCUCCUUCUCAUAGUUUUUGUUGUUGUUGACAUUGGCCACUUUGCUAAAGAAUUGGCUUUCUCUAGCUUGAGCUUGUUGAGAGAAGAGGAGAGAUGCAAGGAAGAAGAGGAAAGAGAACAAUUUUGCAGCAGAAGCCAUAGUGGCAAGUGAACUUGUUGGGAGGCAGCUGCUGUAAACUGA
RNAcentral lists this long non-coding RNA (23187 nucleotides) under Prunus persica (peach). RNAcentral describes it as "long non-coding RNA (PPER_LNC003982)". Lineage: Eukaryota; Viridiplantae; Streptophyta; Magnoliopsida; Rosales; Rosaceae. The record is from RNAcentral.